This 440-nucleotide ribosomal RNA is filed under the name uncultured bacterium. RNAcentral's name for it is "partial 16S ribosomal RNA". It matches the Rfam family "Bacterial small subunit ribosomal RNA", at positions 338 to 795 of the family's 1533-position model. The record is from RNAcentral.
CCUACGGGUGGCUGCAGUGGGGAAUAUUGCACAAUGGGGGAAACCCUGAUCCAGCGACGCCGCGUGGGUGAAGAAGCGCCUCGGCGCGUAAAGCCCUGUCAGCAGGGAAGAAAAUGACGGUACCUGCAGAAGAAGCCGCUGCUAACUACGUGCCAGCAGCCGCGGUAAUACGUAGGGGGCAAGCGUUAUCCGGCUUUACUGGGGGGAAAGGGGGCGCAGACGGCGAUGCAAGCCAGGAGUGAAAGCCCGGGGCCCAACCCCGGGACUGCUUUUGGAAAUGCGUGGCUGGAGUGCAGGAGGGGCAGGCGGAAGUCCUGGUGUAGCGGUGGAAUGCGUAGAUAUCAGGAGGAACACCGGUGGCGAAGGCGGCCUGCUGGACUGCAACUGACGUUGAGGCCCGAAAGCGUGGGGAGCAAACAGGAUUAGAUACCCCUGUAGUC